This 421-nucleotide ribosomal RNA is filed under the name uncultured bacterium. RNAcentral's name for it is "bacterial SSU rRNA". It matches the Rfam family "Bacterial small subunit ribosomal RNA", at positions 358 to 782 of the family's 1533-position model. The record is from RNAcentral.
GGAAUUUUGCGCAAUGGGCGAAAGCCUGACGCAGCAACGCCGCGUGGAGGAUGAAGGUCUUCGGAUCGUAAACUCCUGUCAGGGGGGACGAAAGCCGCGCAAGCGGUUUGACUGUACCCUCUGAGGAAGCCACGGCUAACUCCGUGCCAGCAGCCGCGGUAAUACGGAGGUGGCAAGCGUUGUUCGGAAUUACUGGGCGUAAAGGGCGCGUAGGCGGCUUGGCAAGUCAGAUGUGAAAGCCCCAGGCUUAACUUGGGAAUUGCAUCUGAAACUGCUUUGCUUGAGUCCUGGAGGGGGUAGUGGAAUUCCCAGUGUAGCGGUGAAAUGCGUAGAUAUUGGGAGGAACACCUGCGGCGAAGGCGGCUACCUGGACAGUGACUGACGCUGAGGCGCGAAAGCUAGGGGAGCAAACGGGAUUAGA